AGAGUUUGAUCCUGGCUCAGGAUGAACGCUAGCUACAGGCUUAACACAUGCAAGUCGAGGGGAAACGAUAUUGGAAGCUUGCUUCCGAUAGGCGUCGACCGGCGCACGGGUGAGUAACGCGUAUCCAACCUGCCCACCACUUGGGAAUAACCUUGCGAAAGUAAGACUAAUGCCCAAUGACAUUUAUAGAAGGCAUCUGAAAUGAAUUAAAGAUUUAUCGGUGAUGGAUGGGGAUGCGUCUGAUUAGCUUGUUGGCGGGGUAACGGCCCACCAAGGCGACGAUCAGUAGGGGUUCUGAGAGGAAGGUCCCCCACAUUGGAACUGAGACACGGUCCAAACUCCUACGGGAGGCAGCAGUGAGGAAUAUUGGUCAAUGGGCGAGAGCCUGAACCAGCCAAGUAGCGUGCAGGAUGACGGCCCUAUGGGUUGUAAACUGCUUUUAUAGGGGAAUAAAGUGAGCCACGUGUGGUUUUUUGCAUGUACCCUAUGAAUAAGGACCGGCUAAUUCCGUGCCAGCAGCCGCGGUAAUACGGAAGGUCCGGGCGUUAUCCGGAUUUAUUGGGUUUAAAGGGAGCGUAGGCCGGAGAUUAAGCGUAUUGUGAAAUGUAGAUGCUCAACAUCUGCACUGCAGCGCGAACUGGUUUCCUUGAGUACGCAUAAAGUGGGCGGAAUUCGUGGUGUAGCGGUGAAAUGCUUAGAUAUCACGAAGAACUCCGAUUGCGAAGGCAGCUCACUGGGGCGCAACUGACGCUGAAGCUCGAAAGCAUGGGUAGCAAACAGGAUUAGAUACCCUGGUAGUCCAUGCCGUAAACGAUGAGUGCUAGGUGUUGGAGGGUUUCCGCCCUUCAGUGCCGCAGCUAACGCAUUAAGCACUCCGCCUGGGGAGUACGACCGCAAGGUUGAAACUCAAAGGAAUUGACGGGGGCCCGCACAAGCGGUGGAGCAUGUGGUUUAAUUCGAAGCAACGCGAAGAACCUUACCAGGUCUUGACAUCCUUUGACCACUCUAGAGAUAGAGCUUUCCCUUCGGGGACAAAGUGACAGGUGGUGCAUGGUUGUCGUCAGCUCGUGUCGUGAGAUGUUGGGUUAAGUCCCGCAACGAGCGCAACCCUUAUUACUAGUUGCCAGCAUUUAGUUGGGCACUCUAGUGAGACUGCCGGUGACAAACCGGAGGAAGGUGGGGACGACGUCAAAUCAUCAUGCCCCUUAUGACCUGGGCUACACACGUGCUACAAUGGAUGGUACAACGAGUCGCGAGACCGCGAGGUUUAGCUAAUCUCUUAAAACCAUUCUCAGUUCGGAUUGUAGGCUGCAACUCGCCUACAUGAAGCCGGAAUCGCUAGUAAUCGCGGAUCAGCAUGCCGCGGUGAAUACGUUCCCGGGCCUUGUACACACCGCCCGUCACACCAUGAGAGUUUGUAACACCCAAAGCCGGUGAGGUAACCUUCGGGAGCCAGCCGUCUAAGGUGGGACAGAUGAUUAGGGUGAAGUCGUAACAAGGUA
This 1502-nucleotide ribosomal RNA is filed under the name metagenome. RNAcentral's name for it is "bacterial SSU rRNA". It matches the Rfam family "Bacterial small subunit ribosomal RNA". The record is from RNAcentral.